RNAcentral lists this ribosomal RNA (465 nucleotides) under uncultured bacterium. RNAcentral describes it as "partial 16S ribosomal RNA". It matches the Rfam family "Bacterial small subunit ribosomal RNA", at positions 28 to 507 of the family's 1533-position model. The record is from RNAcentral.
GACGAACGCUGGCGGCGUGCUUAACACAUGCAAGUCGAACGGAAAGGCCCUGCUCGCAGGGUACUCGAGUGGCGAACGGGUGAGUAACACGUGGGUGAUCUGCCCUGCACUUCGGGAUAAGCCUGGGAAACUGGGUCUAAUACCGGAUAGGAGCCAUUUUUAGUGUGAUGGUUGGAAAGUUUUUUCGGUGUAGGAUGAGCUCGCGGCCUAUCAGCUUGUUGGUGGGGUAAUGGCCUACCAAGGCGGCGACGGGUAGCCGGCCUGAGAGGGUGGACGGCCACAUUGGGACUGAGAUACGGCCCAGACUCCUACGGGAGGCAGCAGUGGGGAAUAUUGCACAAUGGGCGCAAGCCUGAUGCAGCGACGCCGCGUGGGGGAUGACGGCCUUCGGGUUGUAAACUCCUUUCGCUAGGGACGAAGCUUUUUGUGACGGUACCUAGAGAAGAAGCACCGGCUAACUACGUG